AGCGAACGCUGGCGGCAGGCCUAACACAUGCAAGUCGAACGACCCCUUCGGGGUUCUUGGCUCACUGGUGAGUAACACGUGGGAACGUGCCUUUAGGUUCGGAAUAACUCAGGGAAACUUGUUCUCAUCCCGAAUGUGCCCUUCGUGGGACAGAUUUAUCGCCUUUAGAGCGUCCCGCCUCUGAUUAGCUAGUUGGUCGAGGUAAUGGCUCACUAAGGCGACGAUCAGUAGCUGGUCUGAGAGGAUGAGCAGCCACAUUGGGACUGAGACACGGCCCAAACUCCUACGGUAGGCAGGAGUGGGGAAUCUUGCGCAAUGGGCGAAAGCAUGACGCAGCCAGGCCGCGUGAAUGAUGAAGGUCGUAGGAUUGUAAAAGUCUUUCACCGGGGACGAUAAUGACGGUACCCGGAGAAGAAGCCCCGGCUAACUUCGUG
RNAcentral lists this ribosomal RNA (434 nucleotides) under uncultured bacterium. RNAcentral describes it as "partial 16S ribosomal RNA". It matches the Rfam family "Bacterial small subunit ribosomal RNA", at positions 29 to 507 of the family's 1533-position model. The record is from RNAcentral.